Molecule: non-coding RNA, 85 nt
Filed under: Paenibacillus naphthalenovorans
Lineage: Bacteria; Bacillati; Bacillota; Bacilli; Caryophanales; Paenibacillaceae
Description: c-di-GMP sequence
Rfam family: c-di-GMP-I riboswitch aptamer
About the family: GEMM was predicted in a large-scale screen for bacterial structured RNA regulatory elements. Genes associated with GEMM are involved in a diverse array of functions, including chemotaxis regulation, signal transduction, secretion and chitin.
Source: Rfam by way of RNAcentral
UUAUACACAAGGCAAACCUAUCGAAAAAUAGGGACGCAAAUCCAUGGGUCUAAAUACCCAGUGAUAUGAUCGCCAGGUUGCUGAG